AUGUGGCAGCACUUCUCGGCUCUACGAAAUCCAUGGCUCAAAUCACACCGACGGGAACCACGCCCCGGCCGCCAACCUGCCUCCUUCCCGAUCCCAACCUCCCGAACCCUACCACGCCGCCAAGCCCGCCACCGCUCCGUUCCAUGGAUCCACUUCGCGACGGCCAGUUCUCGCGGCAGUCUCCGCCCGCUCUUCUCCUCCUGGUCCACCUCCCCCACCAAGCUCUCUCUCCUAGAUCAGCGGGAGCCGGAGCGGUUCCUGAGCCUGGUAUGCAAGGCACUAGGGCAGGCAAGCGGUUCUUGGCAUGGCAGCGCUGAUGCAGCAUGCUGGCUCACUUGCUCGGACCAAGGGGUGGCUCGUGCACCGCUCAUCCGUGUACGCCCUCAACUGCCUUCUCGGCUAGGUGCCGCCCGGACCACGCCUUUUCCGGCAGAUUCUCAAUCGUAUCGGUUUGUGCACUUAUAUACAGGCUGCAACGAGAAAAGUAAUCUUCUAUGGAGCGCCACCAAUCAAAGAUUGUGUUUGUACACCCUUGUUAAGAGAGAUGGCAGGACAUGCAUUGGCCCUUUCUACUUGGUACUUGAAUCAAAUGGACACCAAUGGACAAUUUAUUUAAACUCCACAUGUGGAUCAUUUACUUCAAGCUCACAUGUUACCAACCAGAUUGAUAGUGUGAUAGCACCCGGGAGCCCCGGCACCCCCUUGCUGUUCUCUGUCCAGCAGUGGUCUAUUUGCAGUCUCGGUUUAAUUAAGCAGCCUAUUUACCCAUACAAACGGUGCAGCUACGGUUCAGGACCUGGUGCAGAUCUCAAUGCGCUGGCUCUUACACGGACGAUUUACCUGGUAGGGCUGAAUCAGCUGUUCGACAUUCACAUUGAAAAGAUCAACAAGCCAGGUUUUCCAUUGGUAGCUAGGCGAUUUUCAGUAGCAACUGGAGUAUUCUUAGUGGUCACAUUCCUGAUCAUGCUUCCUUCUUGGAAGUGUUCCAUUGAGGUAAGUAGCACUUACCAUCAUGAGAAUGGGAAAGCUCCGAUGCUCCGGUGGGAACGACACACACUCCUCGCUGCAUCUUGUAUCCUAUUUGUGAGGGCUAUCAUGGUCCAAUUGGCUUUCUUUGCACAUAUGCAGUGUUUGAUGAUUCAUUUUGCAGUGACAUGUUCUGAAAAGGCCCUUGGCAGCAACAAAAUGACUGGUGUUUGCAACAUUGUCCUGUGUUGGUUCUCUGCCGUCAUAGCUAUAUUCAAGGAUAUUCCUGGCGUUGAUGGAGACCGAGACUUUGGCAUCACUAAAAGUGUAUCAGCUUUGCAGUGGAGCAUGUUGUUCGUCGUGGGUCGAACUGAGGCCAAGACUGAUGAGUUGAUGGCGAGAACAAACUACUACUCUACCCAGCAACUUAUACAGAGAUAUGGUCUUGACCCUGCUCAAGCUCAUCCACACCGUUGUCACUAUAGCUGCUUCUGCGAGUCUCUUGUCAUCUUCUUCGCCGCCGGCUUGGUAAAUCUCUCAGUUUACUUCUCCUCUUCCUCUCUUGAGCUCUGUAGAAAGUGGGCUAGGUGGGGAGGCGAGGGCGAAGUGCAGUCACCGCAUUCGCUUCCCACAGCUGUGGAUGACGACAAGGAGGUGGUGGGUGACAUGGGCAAACAGUGCUUGGAGGUCCAUGUUGCUUGUCUGCGUGUCUGCAUAGAGAAUUUUCUGUUGUUUGAUUUGGUUUUACUGGAACAAGGAGUGGCACUGCCCAAGCUCCCCAUUACACAUUGUAUUGAGUUAAUUGUCAUUGAGGCUGUGAGGAUGCAGGUACCGAAUAUGCUCACUAGGUUUGAUCUUGAACAUGCUGAGAGGAAAAAAAAGUUGAUGCACUACUCUGUAGCACCCAUGCGUCAACUCCUUCAAUUCCUAUUUGUUCAAUACAUCUUGAAAUUUUUGCUCUGGGAUUUGGUGGCUGCUUACAGUUUCGCGAGCUUGAGGAGGAACUAUCGGAUGGUUCAAGAUCCGGAGAGAAACGGUCAUGCGGGCUCGUUGAGCACCGUCGAUUAUGUUUGUUCCGGCCCUCACGCCAGCAAUGAGGAGCACACCACUGUGCCUUCAUGUCCUUACCGACACCUGCCUCAAGCCACUAAGCUCAACCCGUCUAUAAGUUUAGUGUUGGUUCUUCGUGUGCACAUCCAUCUCUCGGAUGGAUGGUUAAAGAUCAGGAAUGAGGCGGGGAGGAGGCUUACGAGGGCCAUAAUGAGGUUGGAGUCUCUAAAGAUUAUGGAAGUGGAGCACCGGGUCACUCUCCUCCAACUACAAUGGUUGUUUGGCCAACAGGGGUUAGAGAUGAAAUGGGAUAGGCGGUUGAUAGCGGCCAAGCUGGACAUGAGUAAAGCGUAUGAUCAUGUGGAGUGGAGUUUCCUUGAGAGGAUGAUGAACACUACAGGUUUUGCUCCUGCGUGGCAAGCCGAGAUUGAAAGACGAAGUGCGCUAAGCAUAAAUCACCUCUUUUUCACAAAUGACUCCUUGAUAGUUAUAGAAGCAACAACAACUAGUGCAGCAAGGCUUCAGGAUAUUCUUGCGAUGUAUGAGAUACAGUCGAAACAUAAAAUAAACAUGGACAAAUCUUCGACCUUCUUCAACAAGAAGACCGGCACCCACACCAAACAACAAGUGCUCCAAGUGCUUGGCAUCCUUGCCGAGUCACAUAACGAAAGGUAUCUUGGUUUGCCAGUUCAUCUUGCAGCUGCAAAGAGCAAAAAAAAAUAG
RNAcentral lists this ribosomal RNA (2739 nucleotides) under Triticum aestivum (bread wheat). RNAcentral describes it as "partial small subunit ribosomal RNA". The record is from RNAcentral. Lineage: Eukaryota; Viridiplantae; Streptophyta; Magnoliopsida; Poales; Poaceae.